This 398-nucleotide ribosomal RNA is filed under the name uncultured bacterium. RNAcentral describes it as "partial 16S ribosomal RNA". It matches the Rfam family "Bacterial small subunit ribosomal RNA", at positions 360 to 774 of the family's 1533-position model. The record is from RNAcentral.
AAUAUUGCACAAUGGGGGAAACCCUGAUGCAGCGACGCCGCGUGAGCGAAGAAGGCCUUCGGGUCGUAAAGCUCUGUCCUAAGGGAAGAAACGGACGGUACCUUAGGAGGAAGCCCCGGCUAACUACGUGCCAGCAGCCGCGGUAAUACGUAGGUGGCAAGCGUUGUCCGGAUUUAUUGGGCGUAAAGCGCGCGCAGGCGGUCUUUAUAAGUCUGAUGUGAAAGACCACAGCUUAACUGUGGGGUUGCAUUUGAAACUAGAAGGCUUGAGUAUCGGAGAGGGUAGUGGAAUUCCUAGUGUAGCGGUGAAAUGCGUAGAUAUUAGGAGGAACACCAGUGGCGAAGGCGACUACCUGGACGAAAACUGACGCUGAGGCACGAAAGCUAGGUUAGCAAACA